Molecule: small RNA, 344 nt
Filed under: Bdellovibrionales bacterium
Lineage: Bacteria; Pseudomonadati; Bdellovibrionota; Bdellovibrionia; Bdellovibrionales
Description: transfer-messenger RNA
Rfam family: transfer-messenger RNA
About the family: Bacterial tmRNA, also known as 10Sa RNA or SsrA, is named for its dual tRNA and mRNA-like properties.
Source: RNAcentral
GGGGGCGUUAGGCUUCGACGCAAAUAAGAAGCAUUAGGGAGCAUGCAGAGGGGCAUGAGGACCUCUUUAAAAACGUGCAUAAAACUAAUUGGCAACUUUGCCACUUUAGCUGCUUAAUUUUAAAGUAGCCGUGGAACCAACUUAGACGGCGAAGUUGGGGAAGCGUCGAUUCAGUCGUCUCGGUUGAUUGCUUUUCUCAGGCGGUGGACUUAAAUCAAUGAGAAAAAACUUGAGGAAAUUUUGCCUUUGGAAGUUCUUUUAAGUUUUUAAAACAGAGGCUGAGCAUGGAGCACCCAAAUGUAGAAGCUUUGCGGACACGAGUUCAAUUCUCGUCGCCUCCACCA